Molecule: ribosomal RNA, 2517 nt
Filed under: Burkholderia multivorans ATCC 17616
Lineage: Bacteria; Pseudomonadati; Pseudomonadota; Betaproteobacteria; Burkholderiales; Burkholderiaceae
Description: bacterial LSU rRNA
Rfam family: Bacterial large subunit ribosomal RNA
Source: RNAcentral
AGUAGGGCGGGACACGUGAAAUCCUGUCUGAAGAUGGGGGGACCAUCCUCCAAGGCUAAAUACUCGUGAUCGACCGAUAGUGAACCAGUACCGUGAGGGAAAGGCGAAAAGAACCCCGGGAGGGGAGUGAAAUAGAUCCUGAAACCGCAUGCAUACAAACAGUCGGAGCCUCUUUAUGGGGUGACGGCGUACCUUUUGUAUAAUGGGUCAGCGACUUACGUUCAGUAGCAAGCUUAACCGUAUAGGGCAGGCGUAGCGAAAGCGAGUCCGAAUAGGGCGUUCAGUUGCUGGGCGUAGACCCGAAACCAGGUGAUCUAUCCAUGGCCAGGAUGAAGGUGCGGUAACACGUACUGGAGGUCCGAACCCACUAACGUUGAAAAGUUAGGGGAUGAGCUGUGGAUAGGGGUGAAAGGCUAAACAAACCUGGAAAUAGCUGGUUCUCUCCGAAAACUAUUUAGGUAGUGCCUCGUGUCUCACCUUCGGGGGUAGAGCACUGUCAUGGUUGGGGGGUCUAUUGCAGAUUACCCCGCCAUAGCAAACUCCGAAUACCGAAGAGUGCAAUCACGGGAGACAGACAUCGGGUGCUAACGUCCGGUGUCAAGAGGGAAACAACCCAGACCGCCAGCUAAGGUCCCCAAAUAUGGCUAAGUGGGAAACGAAGUGGGAAGGCUAAAACAGUCAGGAGGUUGGCUUAGAAGCAGCCACCCUUUAAAGAAAGCGUAAUAGCUCACUGAUCGAGUCGUCCUGCGCGGAAGAUGUAACGGGGCUAAGCCAUAUACCGAAGCUGCGGAUGCGUGCUUGCACGCAUGGUAGGAGAGCGUUCCGUAAGCCUGCGAAGGUGCCUUGUAAAGGGUGCUGGAGGUAUCGGAAGUGCGAAUGCUGACAUGAGUAGCGAUAAAGGGGGUGAAAGGCCCCCUCGCCGUAAGCCCAAGGUUUCCUACGCAACGUUCAUCGGCGUAGGGUGAGUCGGCCCCUAAGGCGAGGCAGAAAUGCGUAGCUGAUGGGAAGCAGGUCAAUAUUCCUGCACCGUCGUUAGAUGCGAUGGGGGGACGGAUCGCGGAAGGUUGUCCGGGUGUUGGACGUCCCGGUCGCUGCAUUGGAGAAGGCGCUUAGGCAAAUCCGGGCGCAGGAUUCAAGGGUGUGGCGCGAGCGACUUCGGUCGCGAAGCAAUUGGAAGUGGUUCCAAGAAAAGCCUCUAAGCUUCAGUCUAACGAUGACCGUACCGCAAACCGACACAGGUGGGCGAGAUGAGUAUUCUAAGGCGCUUGAGAGAACUCGGGAGAAGGAACUCGGCAAAUUGGUACCGUAACUUCGGGAUAAGGUACGCCCUUGUAGCUUGACUGGCCUGCGCCAGGAGGGUGAAGGGGUUGCAAUAAACUGGUGGCUGCGACUGUUUAAUAAAAACACAGCACUCUGCAAACACGAAAGUGGACGUAUAGGGUGUGACGCCUGCCCGGUGCCGGAAGAUUAAAUGAUGGGGUGCAAGCUCUUGAUUGAAGUCCCGGUAAACGGCGGCCGUAACUAUAACGGUCCUAAGGUAGCGAAAUUCCUUGUCGGGUAAGUUCCGACCUGCACGAAUGGCGUAACGAUGGCCACACUGUCUCCUCCCGAGACUCAGCGAAGUUGAAGUGUUUGUGAUGAUGCAAUCUACCCGCGGCUAGACGGAAAGACCCCAUGAACCUUUACUGUAGCUUUGCAUUGGACUUUGAACCGAUCUGUGUAGGAUAGGUGGGAGGCUAUGAAACCGGAACGCUAGUUUCGGUGGAGCCGUCCUUGAAAUACCACCCUGGUUUGUUUGAGGUUCUAACCUUGGUCCGUGAUCCGGAUCGGGGACAGUGCAUGGUAGGCAGUUUGACUGGGGCGGUCUCCUCCCAAAGGGUAACGGAGGAGUACGAAGGUACGCUAGGUACGGUCGGAAAUCGUGCUGAUAGUGCAAUGGCAUAAGCGUGCUUAACUGCGAGACCGACAAGUCGAGCAGGUGCGAAAGCAGGUCAUAGUGAUCCGGUGGUUCUGUAUGGAAGGGCCAUCGCUCAACGGAUAAAAGGUACUCUGGGGAUAACAGGCUGAUACCGCCCAAGAGUUCAUAUCGACGGCGGUGUUUGGCACCUCGAUGUCGGCUCAUCUCAUCCUGGGGCUGUAGCCGGUCCCAAGGGUAUGGCUGUUCGCCAUUUAAAGAGGUACGUGAGCUGGGUUUAAAACGUCGUGAGACAGUUUGGUCCCUAUCUGCCGUGGGCGUUGGAUAUUUGAAGGGGGCUGCUCCUAGUACGAGAGGACCGGAGUGGACGAACCUCUGGUGUACCGGUUGUGACGCCAGUCGCAUCGCCGGGUAGCUAUGUUCGGAAGAGAUAACCGCUGAAAGCAUCUAAGCGGGAAACUCGCCUUAAGAUGAGAUAUCCCUGGAGGCUUGACCUCCUUGAAGGGUCGUUCGAGACCAGGACGUUGAUAGGUCGGGUGUGUAAGCGCAGUAAUGCGUUCAGCUAACCGAUACUAAUUGCCCGUAAGGCUUGAUCCUAUAAC